GACGAACGCUGGCGGCGUGCCUAAUACAUGCAAGUAGAACGCUGAAGGAGGAGCUUGCUUCUCUGGGUGAGUUGCGAACGGGUGAGUAACGCGUAGGUAACCUGCCUGGUAGCGGGGGAUAACUAUUGGAAACGAUAGCUAAUACCGCAUAAGGGUAGAUGUUGCAUGACAUUUGCUUAAAAGGUGCAAUUGCAUCACUACCAGAUGGACCUGCGUUGUAUUAGCUAGUUGGUGGGGUAACGGCUUACCAAGGCGACGAUACAUAGCCGACCUGAGAGGGUGAUCGGCCACACUGGGACUGAGACACGGCCCAGACUCCUACGGGAGGCAGCAGUAGGGAAUCUUCGGCAAUGGACGGAAGUCUGACCGAGCAACGCCGCGUGAGUGAAGAAGGUUUUCGGAUCGUAAAGCUCUGUUGUAAGAGAAGAACGAGUGUGAGAGUGGAAAGUUCACACUGUGACGGUAUCUUACCAGAGAGGGACGGCUAACUACGUG
This 495-nucleotide ribosomal RNA is filed under the name uncultured bacterium. RNAcentral describes it as "partial 16S ribosomal RNA". It matches the Rfam family "Bacterial small subunit ribosomal RNA", at positions 28 to 507 of the family's 1533-position model. The record is from RNAcentral.